ACGUUCUUCUUUAUAACUGCGCAAUCCAAAACUCGGGUUUAAUUCCUUCGUUUUCUGCUGUUCGGAUACUAUCGUCAUGGGGAUUCUUGAAGUGCUGGUCACGGUUUUGUUGUUGUGGACUGGGGGUGAAGGGAUGGUUCCUAGCGAUAUGUGCAUAGAACCAGUUAUUCCUACGCCCGGAAAUUUUUAUGCCAUCAAAGUUAGUUCUCGUUUUUAUAGGAGAGCUCACCCAUUACAAGUUGAAGUUUACCAAACUAUAAGUGAAAAGAGACCUAUAAUAGCUGACGUAUUUCUACAUGUACCCGAAACGGAUAUUCAGUCACCUGGUAUGGCCCUGGAUGUUAAAACAAUCGGCUAUUGGUUGGGUAAACAACCAUCAGAAUAUACUGUGGUGUCAGAAACGAUAUCAUGUCCAUACAGUUUUUGGGGUAACGAUGCCAUAGUUGCUUUUAACGACCAUGAGUUGAAGUUUAACAUCACGGGUAACUGGUAUCCGCCUACUUCUGCAUACGACUUAAAACAAAGACGGCAUGUCAAAUUCGUAGCUUACGUGACACCUGAUCCAGAUAAAACAAGACGGAGAUGGUACAAAGCUGAAUCACCAAUAAUCAAAAACUUGGAUUACAUCGCAAUACAAUACCAUGAAAGACGUCAGCGACAGCAACUCGCUCGGUAUAACCAGCUCUAUAACAUUUUUCAAGACGGAAUUUGAUAUUCCUCCCCCCAAACAAAAACAAAGAAAGAAGCCCCAAAAGUCUUCGUUUUGUGGUAAUAAAUGUGCAAUAUAUCGCCCAGUCUAAAAUUACAUUGACAUUUUUUCCCUUGCAAUAUACCUCGUUCAAAAAGAACAGACUUUCUAGCUUUGUAGCAAUUAACCCAAAACGUUAUAUUUUGAAAUACACCUUAGGUUCCCAUUGGAGUAACUACGCAAUGAAAUCAAAGAGGCAUUAUGCAAGAGCUAAAUCUGUCCAUUGCAGGUCUUUUUUCGGGCUUCAAUUGUCAUAUAAAUUGUCAUUUAUAUAUUUAUUCACAUGAAAAGCCCACAAUCAACCCCGGAGACCAUCGGAUGUCUUAAAUAUUGAGCGGAUUAGACAAUGCCCGCCAUAUAUACGUUAACUGAUAAUAUGGCGGCACUCGCGGUGACGGUUGAUUGAAAGACUGAAAAUUGGUACCUGACCUGAUAAUAAAGGAUAUGAAUCGGCAAUCGUCAGACACAAUUUAGGCCACUUCUUGUCAAUACUUCAAACAAUUUCAAUAAAUUCUUUAUUCAUUAUUUAUUUUUGAACUUUUAUAGCCGAACUUUUAUAACCUAAAUCUUACAUAAUGCCUCUUUAACAUUUAUGUUUGAUUAGACUGAAUAUCGCCAUGCUUGACUUUAUCCGUACAUCACCUUGCUUUACUUUGGUCGUGGACUAACCGUUAGCAAUAUAAAUAACAAAAGCGGGUGAAAUAAUAGGUUCUGAUAUUUAUAUUAUGUAAAGCUUUAUAGUAUGCUAAUUUAUUGUACAUGUUAUUAUAUGCUUGACUUUAUCCGUAGAUCAUUUUGCUGUACUAUGUUCGUGGAAUAAUCGUUGGCAAUAUAUAACAAAAGCUGAAGAAAUAGCUUCCGAUAUUUAUAUGUAAAGCUUUAUAGUAUGCUAAUAUAUUGUAUAUGAUAUUAUAUUAUUGUUUAUGAUCAUGAUUAAAAUAAAUGGAA
Patella vulgata (common limpet) is the source of this 1696-nucleotide long non-coding RNA. RefSeq lists it as uncharacterized. NCBI's taxonomy places the organism in Eukaryota, Metazoa, Mollusca, Gastropoda, Patellidae. The transcript has 4 exons. The record is from RefSeq and is a predicted model, not a curated record.